Non-coding RNA from Acanthosepion pharaonis, 112 nucleotides. The record is from the annotation of a GenBank genome assembly. Lineage: Eukaryota; Metazoa; Mollusca; Cephalopoda; Sepiida; Sepiidae.
ACAACCACAUCCCUUUCGAAACACCGGCUCCCGUACGAUCAUCGAAGUUAAGCAACGUUGAGCCUGGUCAGUACCCAGAUGGGUGACCGUUUGGGAAUAUAAGGUGCUACAA